This 2682-nucleotide long non-coding RNA is filed under the name Taeniopygia guttata (zebra finch). RNAcentral describes it as "lncRNA (ENSTGUG00000023996.1)". Lineage: Eukaryota; Metazoa; Chordata; Aves; Passeriformes; Estrildidae. The record is from RNAcentral.
UUUUUCCCCAUUAUUUUACCGAUUUUUUCCAUUUUUUUCCCCAAUUUUUCCAUUUUUUCCCCAUUUUUUCCCCAUUUUUCCCCAUUUUCCCCCCAAUUUCCCCAUUAUUUUACCGAUUUUUCCCAUUUUUUUCUCCAAUUUUUCCAUUUUUUUCCCCAAUUUUUCCGUUUUUUCCCCAUUUCCCCCAUUUUUCCCCGUGUCUCACCUGUCCCUUGGAGCAGCCGGCGCGCAGCAGCAGCGCCAUGUCCCCCCUUUUUUCCCCCAUUUUUCCCCCAAUUUCCCCAUUUUUUCCCCCCAUUUUUCCCCCAAUUUCCCCAUUAUUUUACCGAUUUUUUCCAUUUUUUUCCCAUUUUUUCCCCAUUUUCCCCCAAAUCUCACCUGUCCCUUGGAGCAGCCGGCGUGCAGCAGCAGCGCCAUGUCCCCCCUUUUUUCCCCCAAUUUUCCGCCAUUUUUCCUCAUUUUUUCCCCAAUUUUCCCAUUAUUUUACCGAUUUUUCCCAUUAUUUUACCGAUUUUUCACAUUUUUCCCCCAUUUUCCCCCAAUCUCACCUGUCCCUUGGAGCAGCCGGCGCGCAGCAGCAGGGGCCAUUUUCCCCCAAAUUUUCUCUAUUUUCCCCAUUAUUUUACCGAUUUUUUCCAUUUUUUUCCCAUUUUUUCUCCGAUUUUCCCCAAUUUUUCCAUUUUUUUUUCCCAUUUUUCCCAUUUUUCCCCAUUUUCCCCCAUUUUUCCCCCAAUCUCACCUGUCCCUUGGAGCAGCCGGCGCGCAGCAGCUGGGGCCAAUUUUCCCCCCUUUUUUCCCCCAUUUUUUCCCCGAUUUUCCCCAUUUUUCCCCGAUUUUCCCCAUUAUUUUACCGAUUUUUUCCAUUUUUUUCCCAUUUUUCCCCCUUUUUUCCCCAAUUUCCCCAUUUUUUCCCCAUUUUCCCAAUUUCCCCCCAUUUUUCCCCCCGAAUCUGACCUGUCCCUUGGAGCAGCCGGCGCGCAGCAGCAGCGCCAUGUCCCCCCAUUUUUCCCCCAAUUUCCCCAUUUUUCCCCCAAUUUCCCCAUUAUUUUACCGAUUUUUUCCAUUUUUUUACCGAUUUUUUCCAUUUUUUUUCCCAAUUUCCCCAUUUUUUUCCCCAUUUUUCCCCAAUCUGACCUGUCCCUUGGAGCAGCCGGUGCGCAGCAGCAGCGCCAUGUCCCCCCAUUUUUUCCCUAUUUUCCCCAUUAUUUUACUGAUUUUCCCCAUUUUUUCCCCAAUUUCCCCAUUAUUUUAUCGAUUUUUUCCAUUAUUUUUCCCAUUUUUUCCCAUUUUUUCCCCAUUUUUCCCCGUUACCUGUCCCUUGGAGCAGCCGGCGCGCAGCAGCAGCGCCAUGUCCCCCCUUUUUUCCCCCAAUUUCCCCAUUAUUUUACCGAUUUUUUCCAUUUUUUCCCAUUUUUUCCCCAUUUUCCCCCAUUUUUCCCCAUUUUCCCCAAAUCUCACCUGUCCCUUGGAGCAGCCGGCGCGCAGCAGCAGCGCCAUGUCCCCCAUUUUUUCCCUAUUUUCCCCAUUAUUUUACUGAUUUUUCCCAUUUUUUUCCCCAAUUUCCCCAUUAUUUUACCGAUUUUUUCCAUUUUUUUUCCCAAUUUUUCCAUUUUUCCCCUUUUUCCCCAAUCUCACCUGUCCCUUGGAGCAGCCGGCGCGCAGCAGCAGCGCCAUGUCCCCCCUUUUUUCCCCCAUUUUUCCCUCAAUUUCCCCAUUUUUCCCCCAUUUUUCCCCCAUUUUUUCCCCAAUUUCCCCAUUUUUUCCCCGAUUUUCCCUAUUUUUUCCAUUUUUUCCCCAUUUUUCCCCAUUUUUCCCGUUACCUGUCCCUUGGAGCAGCCGGCGCGCAGCAGCAGCGCCAUGUCCCCCCUUUUUUCCCCCAUUUUUCCCCCAUUUUUCCCCCAAUUUCCCCAUUUUUUCCCCAUUUUUUCUCCGAUUUUCCCCAUUUUUUCCCCGUUUUUCCCCAAUUUCUCCAUUUUUUUCCCCAUUUUUCCCCCCAAUCUCACCUGUCCCUUGGAGCAGCCGGCGCGCAGCAGCUGGGGCCAUUUUUUUCCCUUUUCCCCCAAUUUUCCCCAUUUUUCCCCCAAUUUUCCCCAUUUUUCCCCCAUUUUUUCCCCAAUUUCCCCAUUUUUUCCCCAAUUUCCCCAUUAUUUUACCGAUUUUUCCCCAUUUUCCCCAUUUUUCCCCAGUCUCACCUGUCCCUUGGAGCAGCCGGCGCGCAGCCGCAGCGCCAUGUCCCCCCUUUUAUCCCCCAUUUUUCCCCUUUUUUCCCCCAUUUUUCCCCCAUUUUUUCCCCAAUUUCCCAUUAUUUUACUGAUUUUUCCCAUUUUUUCCCAUUUUUUCCCCGAUUUCCCCCAUUUUUUAACCGAUUUUUCCCCGUUUUCCCCCAUUUUUCCCCGUUACCUGUCCCUUGGAGCAGCCGGCGCGCAGCAGCAGCGCCAUGUCCCCCGUUUUUUCCCCUUUUUUCCCCCAUUUUUUCCCCAUUUUUCCCCGAUUUUUUCCAUUUUUUUUCCCAUUUUCCCCAUUUUUCCCGUUACCUGUCCCUUGGAGCAGCCGGCGCGCAGCAGCAGCGCCAUGUCCCCCCCCAUUUUUUCCCCCACUUUUUCCCCAAUUUCCCCAUUAUUUUACCGAUUUUUCCCAUUUUUUUCCCAUUAUUUUACCGAUUUUUCCCAUUAUUUUACCGAU